GAGUUUGAUCCUGGCUCAGAACGAACGCUGGCGGCAGGCCUAACACAUGCAAGUCGAACGAGAAGCCAGAGCUUGCUCUGGUGGAAAGUGGCAGACGGGUGAGUAACGCGUGGGAACCUACCCAGGGGUUCGGAAUAACUCAGGGAAACUUGAGCUAAUACCGGAUACGCCUUGCGAGGGAAAGAUUUAUCGCCCCUGGACGGGCCCGCGUCGGAUUAGUUUGUUGGUGGGGUAACGGCCCACCAAGGCUACGAUCCGUAGCUGGUCUGAGAGGAUGAUCAGCCACACUGGGACUGAGACACGGCCCAGACUCCUACGGGAGGCAGCAGUGGGGAAUCUUGCACAAUGGGCGCAAGCCUGAUGCAGCCAUGCCGCGUGAGUGAAGAAGGCCUUAGGGUUGUAAAACUCUUUCAGCGGGGAAGAUAAUGACGGUACCCGCAGAAGAAGCCCCGGCUAACUCCGUGCCAGCAGCCGCGGUAAUACGGAGGGGGCUAGCGUUGUUCGGAAUCACUGGGCGUAAAGCGCAC
This 527-nucleotide ribosomal RNA is filed under the name uncultured Hyphomicrobiaceae bacterium. Its description in RNAcentral is "bacterial SSU rRNA". It matches the Rfam family "Bacterial small subunit ribosomal RNA", at positions 9 to 570 of the family's 1533-position model. The record is from RNAcentral. Lineage: Bacteria; Pseudomonadati; Pseudomonadota; Alphaproteobacteria; Hyphomicrobiales; Hyphomicrobiaceae.